This 426-nucleotide ribosomal RNA is filed under the name uncultured bacterium. RNAcentral's name for it is "bacterial SSU rRNA". It matches the Rfam family "Bacterial small subunit ribosomal RNA", at positions 120 to 541 of the family's 1533-position model. The record is from RNAcentral.
GGGGAUCUGCCGAAUGGAGGGGGACAACAGUUGGAAACGACUGCUAAUACCGCAUAAUGUCGCGAGACCAAAGCAUGGGACCUUAGGGCCAUGCGCCAUUUGAUGAACCCAUAUGGGAUUAGCUAGUAGGUGAGGUAAUGGCUCACCUAGGCGACGAUCUCUAGCUGGUCUGAGAGGAUGACCAGCCACACUGGGACUGAGACACGGCCCAGACUCCUACGGGAGGCAGCAGUGGGGAAUAUUGCACAAUGGGGGAAACCCUGAUGCAGCCAUGCCGCGUGUAUGAAGAAGGCCUUCGGGUUGUAAAGUACUUUCGGUAGCGAGGAAGGGGUUAUAUCUAAUAGGUGUAACCAUUGACGUUAACUACAGAARAAGCACCGGCUAACUCCGUGCCAGCAGCCGCGGUAAUACGGAGGGUGCGAGCGU